RNAcentral lists this unclassified non-coding RNA (424 nucleotides) under soil metagenome. RNAcentral describes it as "partial contains 5.8S ribosomal RNA, internal transcribed spacer 2, and large subunit ribosomal RNA". The stretch from base 1 to 120 matches the Rfam family "5.8S ribosomal RNA", at positions 35 to 154 of the family's 154-position model. The record is from RNAcentral.
GAUGAAGAACGUAGCGAAAUGCGAUACGUAAUGUGAAUUGCAGAAUUCAGUGAAUCAUCGAAUCUUUGAACGCAUAUUGCGCUCUCUGGUAUUCCGGAGAGCAUGCUUGUUUGAGUAUCAGUAAACACCUCAACUCCCUUUCUUCUUGAAAUGGAGCUGGACUUGAGUGAUCCCAACGCUUUAUUCAUAAAGUGGCGGGUUACUUGAAAUGCAGGUGCAGCUGGACUUUUCUCUGAGCUAUAAGCAUAUCUAUUUAGUCUGCCUCAAAACAGAUUAUUACCUUUGCUGCAGCUAACAUAAAGGAGAUUAGUUCUUGUGCUGACUGAUGCAGGAUUCACAAAGACCGCUUCGGCUGUCUUUGUAAACUCGAUCUCAAAUCAAGUAAGACUACCCGCUGAACUUAAGCAUAUCAAUAAGCGGAGGA